AUGCUGCGUCAUAGGAGUGCAAAGGGUUGUGCAGGGGAAGGGUGGGACACACAAAAUCACUGUUUCUCCUCUCUUCAGGAGAGUAACCAGCAUUUUUAUGCAACAUCUGAACAGUAUACAAAUCAAAUAUGUUUUCAUUACCACAGAAUUGGGGGGAGUCUUCCCCACCUCCCCCCCAGAAAUAACCAAAACAUCUUCUGCAAAUGUUUGGCAUGUUUGGCACUGUCUACCAGAAGGCCACUUAAAAUGCAUUUUUUUCUGACUGCCAACUGCAUCCAGCCCAGCUGUAGGCACAGGGAAGCAUUCACCAGCACAGCCCCUGCCCAGCAAAUGCCUUUUCAGCUGUGGGGAGGCUGGGCUAAGCAGGUAGAUGCAAUGGCUGUGUUCCACCAAGCUACAAAAGCUCGCUCGAGGAGAUGCUGUGUCUUGUUUGUUGUUCACAAACAGGCUGUUAAAAUGUCAGAUGGUAAAAACAACCAAGAGUUCCAGAUGGGGCAAUUGGAAGAGAAACAUGCUGAAGAUGAUAAUAAGAAAGUUCUGGAUUCUCUCAAUUGGGAAUCCCAUGUCCUCACCUGUGACUUCCAAAUGCAAUCACUAUUCAAGUCUUGUGCAAAGCAGCACGUCAUGAGGAAGUUCUUCGUUAUCAGGGGCUGA
RNAcentral lists this long non-coding RNA (654 nucleotides) under Meleagris gallopavo (turkey). RNAcentral's name for it is "lncRNA (ENSMGAG00000020534.1)". The record is from RNAcentral. Lineage: Eukaryota; Metazoa; Chordata; Aves; Galliformes; Phasianidae.